RNAcentral lists this ribosomal RNA (180 nucleotides) under uncultured bacterium. RNAcentral describes it as "partial 16S ribosomal RNA". It matches the Rfam family "Bacterial small subunit ribosomal RNA", at positions 521 to 700 of the family's 1533-position model. The record is from RNAcentral.
UAAUACGUAGGGGGCAAGCGUUGUCCGGAUUUAUUGGGCGUAAAGAGCGUGUAGGCGGCUUCACAAGUCCGCUGUGAAAACUCGAGGCUCAACCUCGAGCUGUCGGUGGAAACUGUGAGGCUAGAGUCCGGAAGAGGAGAGUGGAAUUCCCGGUGUAGCGGUGAAAUGCGCAGAUAUCGG